AUUAACGCUAGCGGCAGGCAUAAUACAUGCAAGUUGAACGGCAGCACAGGUAGCAAUACUGGGUGGCGAGUGGCGCACGGGUGCGUAACACGUAUGCAACCUACCCUAUACAGGCGAAUAACCUUUAGAAAUGAGGGCUAAUACGCCGUAGUAUUACAGAUGGGCAUCUAUUUGUAAUUAAAGAUUUAUCGGUAUAGGAUGGGCAUGCGUCCCAUUAGUUAGUCGGUAAGGUAACGGCUUACCAAGACGAUGAUGGGUAGGGG
RNAcentral lists this ribosomal RNA (263 nucleotides) under uncultured bacterium. Its description in RNAcentral is "partial 16S ribosomal RNA". It matches the Rfam family "Bacterial small subunit ribosomal RNA", at positions 29 to 289 of the family's 1533-position model. The record is from RNAcentral.